AUUGAACGCUGGCGGCAGGCCUAACACAUGCAAGUCGAACGAGCGGCGGACGGGUGAGUAAUGUCUGGGAAACUGCCUGAUGGAGGGGGCUAACUACUGGAAACGGUAGCUAACACCGCAUACCAUCAGAUGUGCCCAGAUGGGAUUAGCUAGUUGGUGGGGUAACGGCUCACCAAGGCGACGAUCCCUAGCUGGUCUGAGAGGAUGACCCGCCACCCUGGAAUCGAGACACGUCCCAGACUCCGACGGGAGGCAGCAGUGGGGAAGAUUGCACAAUGGGCGCAAGCCUGAUGCAGCCAUGCCGCGUGUAUGAAGAAGGCCUUCGGGUUGUAAAGUACUUUCAGCGGGGAGGCGUUACCCGCAGAAGAAGCACCGGCUAACUCCGUGCCAGCCGCCGCGGUAAUUC
This 406-nucleotide ribosomal RNA is filed under the name uncultured bacterium. Its description in RNAcentral is "partial 16S ribosomal RNA". It matches the Rfam family "Bacterial small subunit ribosomal RNA", at positions 30 to 526 of the family's 1533-position model. The record is from RNAcentral.